RNAcentral lists this ribosomal RNA (252 nucleotides) under uncultured bacterium. RNAcentral describes it as "partial 16S ribosomal RNA". It matches the Rfam family "Bacterial small subunit ribosomal RNA", at positions 524 to 776 of the family's 1533-position model. The record is from RNAcentral.
UACGGAGGAUGCGAGCGUUAUCCGGAUUUAUUGGGUUUAAAGGGUGCGUAGGCGGGCUUUUAAGUCAGCGGUAAAAAUUCGGGGCUCAACCCCGUCCGGCCGUUGAAACUGGGGGUCUUGAGUGGGCGAGAAGAAGGCGGAAUGCGUGGUGUAGCGGUGAAAUGCAUAGAUAUCACGCAGAACCCCGAUUGCGAAGGCAGCCUUCCGGCGCCCUACUGACGCUGAGGCACGAAAGUUCGGGGAUCGAACAGG